AGAGUUUGAUCCUGGCUCAGGACGAACGCUGGCGGCGCGCCUAACACAUGCAAGUCGAACGGAACUUGAGAGAGCUUGCUUUUUCAAGUAUAGUGGCGAACGGGUGAGUAACGCGUGAGUAACCUGCCCUGGAGUGGGGGACAACAGUUGGAAACGACUGCUAAUACCGCAUAAGCCCACGGCACCGCAUGGUGCUGAGGGAAAAGGAUUUAUUCGCUUCAGGAUGGACUCGCGUCCAAUUAGCUAGUUGGUGAGGUAACGGCCCACCAAGGCGACGAUUGGUAGCCGGACUGAGAGGUUGAACGGCCACAUUGGGACUGAGACACGGCCCAGACUCCUACGGGAGGCAGCAGUGGGGGAUAUUGCACAAUGGGGGAAACCCUGAUGCAGCGACGCCGCGUGGAGGAAGAAGGUUUUCGGAUUGUAAACUCCUGUCGUACGGGACGAUAAUGACGGUACCGUACAAGAAAGCCACGGCUAACUACGUGCCAGCAGCCGCGGUAAAACGUAGGUGGCAAGCGUUGUCCGGAAUUACUGGGUGUAAAGGGAGCGCAGGCGGACCGGCAAGUUGGAAGUGAAAUCUAUGGGCUCAACCCAUAAAUUGCUUUCAAAGCUGCUGGCCUUGAGUAGUGCAGAGGUAGGCGGAAUUCCCGGUGUAGCGGUGGAAUGCGUAGAUAUCGGGAGGAACACCAGUGGCGAAGGCGGCCUACUGGGCACCAACUGACGCUGAGGCUCGAAAGCAUGGGUAGCAAACAGGAUUAGAUACCCUGGUAGUCC
This 777-nucleotide ribosomal RNA is filed under the name uncultured bacterium. Its description in RNAcentral is "bacterial SSU rRNA". It matches the Rfam family "Bacterial small subunit ribosomal RNA", at positions 8 to 796 of the family's 1533-position model. The record is from RNAcentral.